This is a long non-coding RNA of Astatotilapia calliptera (eastern happy), 638 nucleotides long. Lineage: Eukaryota; Metazoa; Chordata; Actinopteri; Cichliformes; Cichlidae. The record is from Ensembl.
GUGCCCGUGUGGCGUGCUGGCUAGCGGUGGGUUGGAACAGACAAGCAGUUAUUCUAGUAACGAUCAGUGCACGAAGUGGAGCUUCGGAACUGGCAUUACAGACGGAGAGCGAGCGGAGCCGGGAUGAGAAAAAGAGUCGAGAGGAAAAACACUCACAGUUGGUGAAUCAGGCGGCAACUGACGUCGGCAAGGUUUCGGAGCUCCUGACAUGAAGAGAACGAUGUCUGAGCGGCGAACAGCCUCUCCCUUCUACAGAUCCAACCCAUCCGUGGAAACCAGGAGACGCGGUGUUGGUGAAGUCGCUAAAACCAAGGACACUCGGGGAGGCCGCGUUUUCCAGCCCCCAGACUGUGCUUGCAGUGACGAGAACCAGCAUCCUUACAGACGGACAACCGCAGUGGAUACACGCCAGCAGGGUUAAGAGCAGCGCCACUGGACCAUCACAGGCGUCGGAUCAAGCAGACGACGACUCAGGCGAGCCAGCGCCCGGAGCCAAUAUAUAUACACACACGCAAUCACUGAUUAACACACAACUCCUGAAAGAGCCAAGACUCAGAGAGCUCUUUGAUCCUCCACAUGAACAACAACAAGGUACUCGAACAUCCAGCAGGAACAGAAAGCCGAGAGUACCACAUGAU